CUGGCUUUUUGGACUGAACAGAGUGUGUAAACAAGCAUGAAAAGGAGGUUAACUCUCACCAUUGAGAAAUGUUUGGGCUCUUGAAAUCAAUGGGUGAUUCGUGACAACAAGGAAAGGGCAAAUACUGAAGACAAAAAGGCUCCAGCCUGUGGUUGGUAUUCAAUCUUCUCUUAAUAUCAGUGCACUGGACUGCCCUCUGAUGAUUUCCUGGAGAACAACUACAGAAUUCACCUGUUCCAAGCCAGUUUGGGAAGUUAAAGGUGAAUUACUCUUCUAGACCAAAAAAGAUCUCCCAAGACUGAAGGAGGGUGACAGCCUUGAGAGAAGUAAUCAUGAUCUACAGUCUUCUAAGAAUGUAAACAAAGACAAUUCCCAAUUAAUGGCAUGUUUUCUGCUUUAAAAAAGCAUAAUUUCAAAAAGGUCACUGGCCCAGAAUGACUCACAUCCACAGUGUUCCUACCUUGAAGUGGUUUUACUGAAACAAAAAGUCCACCUAGAUCCAAAUACAAAUACAAAAAGCAACUGCCAAGGCAAGAGCAUAAUAACAAGAUUCUUUAGAGCUAGAUACAUAGAAGAUAACAGUCCUCAGAAACAAUGAGGCAAGGUGAGUGAAACUUCCUGCUGAUGACAAUGUACCAUAAAGAGAAAGAAACAAAAAAAACAAGAAGGGAAGGUGACAAAAAAAAAAAAUUACAGUCAUAUUUGAAUCAUCUGUGUGAUUGCCUUUCAUAUUUAAAAAGUUUUUAAAGAUUUGUGUGACUAAAAAAGCAAAGGAUAUCCUGAAGAAUACGGAGGGAUUUCCACUUAUUGUAGUUCACAUGGAUACCAGAUCCACACAAGAGAAGCAAGAUGUGCAGGCCAGAAGGACAGUGUUGAAUAUCCAGAAAAAGAAAAUAAGCCAGAGUGGAUAUCACCAUGUUGCACAACUCAGUGGUCAGUGGUGCCAAAGAAAAGGUAACAAAGAAGACAUCAGGUCUGCAUGGGAUAGAGUGCAAAGGAGCAGUGGGGCUCCUGAAACAACCAAGUGCACUUACAUCCAACUCCUGCCUUCAAAGCUCACCUACAUUUUAGGAGGCCUUUCAGAAGAUUAGGAAGACACUAAAGGGUAACAUCAAUUUGAACAUGUAAAAAUAGCAUUGCUCUUAUACAAAGCAAUGGAAUAGUAGCAGAAGAGACAAAGAGUAAAACCAAAAGUAGUGCAUGUCUGUAGUUAACAACAGAUAAAUGUAAUAGCUGGCUGCACAACAUACUGUACAUCUUUAGAAACCCUAAAAAUGCAUGGAGCUAUGUUAAGGCGGACACUUUACCAGAUGAAUAUGGAAGAUAAAAUCUGAUGGUGAAACAUUUGGCUGAGCUGUACGAUAGCAUAAAUAACCAGAGCAAAGAACAAGUUAUGCUGGAUGCUUGCAGGCGAUCAUUGGGACUGGUAAGGAAAAGAAAUCACUGCUUUUUGUACAGAUUCUGAGGACACUCCAGAAGUUAGUGCAGUGGGGUUAGCAACUCCACAGGAAGAAGUUUUCCCUGUGAAAUAUACUUUUGCUGUAUAGUCACUGAAACACUAAGGAGGAAGAAUAUGUUAGGAGGCAAACUGAGCUGACACAUUAAAACAGCUAUGGCUUAUGUAGGGAAAAAAGCACUGUUCCAGUAGGAAAAUCAGUCAGACAAGCCACAUUGGAUGAGGCCUGUUCCAAUCUGAAUGGCAAAAUCUGUCUCACAAAUGCUCAUUUCAACUUUAAAUAUAAUUAUUUUAGUCACAGCCACUCUUGAUUACUAUCAAUGGAUAGUCCUGUGAAAAGACAUUAUGUUGUUCAAUAUCUUCAAGACAGUGCCACAAGCCAAAAAUCCUGGUUCUUACAUACUAGCUGGAAAGUUUAAAUCAUUAUUUGUCUGAUAGUUUAAGCUGCAAUCACCAAAACAGACAGCUGGACAUGGCCACCUUUAAAUUCAAGUUGUCACUCACAUUUUUUAUAUACAGUAGACACUAUUAGAAUAUUGCCCAUGUGAACCACUGGGGAAAUAUCCACACACAGCAGCCGGAGUCAGGAACACAAGACUGGCAAAGCAGGCAAUGAAGCAGUCCCAUUAAUGGAGAAAGAGAAUUAAAAAAGGCUGCAUUUACCCAUUGUUUAUGAUAACAACCUAUGUUCAUUCCCCUUUUCCUGUGCAUCGGCUGUUUCACCACACACCUUUCUACUGAGCAGCGGAGUAAAUAAAAACUGGUCAUGCUGGCUGACACUGAUAAAAUCAAGUUCACAGGCAGAUAUUUCAAACCCUUUAUUAGCAAGGCCAUAAACUACAUAUGCUGUUUGAUUAGGAUAUGAUGAAAAGAAUUUAUUAGCAGAUGUGUAUUCAGCUACACUGUUUUACUGGCAGCUUUAUGAGAUUCUCUCCUAGGCUGACAGGUGCGGCUUGCCAGCUGCCUUGUACAGCAAACAGGGGAUGGAGACCAUGCCAUGUGCAAUGAUUUAAUCAGUUACCAUCAACUGCUGGAAAAUAAACAAGCUUUUGUGCAUUUCUUUCAGUCCCAUGUAUAUUAAUUGAAACCAAAUAUUACAAAUGACACUGAAAGAGAGUAUCGCUGAUCAGAGGAAACUUAAAUUUAAUAGGACACAGCCAUGUAAUACAUAAAUAUAAUAAAGCACAGUCAUGUAAUACAUAAAUAUUUGGUUAAAAGAUAGCAGAAUUUUGUUAAACUUGGCAAUGGGAAGUCUUUUGAAGUCUCAUUUGUCAGUUUCCAUUCGUGGGACAGUCAAAUCUAGUCAUUUGGGUCACAGCUGGCAAAAGAAAGAUGAUCCUCUUGGUUUAUUGUUCUGAUACAAAAUUGUCAUUACAAAUUGAAAACACAGGGCAAAUAAAAGAGGGCAAAUGGGGAACUUGUGUGGUUACAUAUUUUUAACUGUUGCGUCUGGCUGUACUUUGCUUAAUAGGGGUUGCAGAAUUCAAGAUGUCUAUAUCCUGGGUCUCAUUACUAUUGUUUAAAAUUUCUAUACCACUAGUUUACAAUUAAAACGUUCUUUCUCAAUUCAGUUCUCAUAUCCCGUGUUUUCAGUGCUCUAAAUAUGUGUAACCUGAACUAAUAUUUUUAUUAAGUAUCUGACA
Long non-coding RNA from Melospiza melodia melodia, 3099 nucleotides. RefSeq lists it as uncharacterized. The transcript has 5 exons. The record is from RefSeq and is a predicted model, not a curated record. NCBI's taxonomy places the organism in Eukaryota, Metazoa, Chordata, Aves, Passeriformes, Passerellidae.